AACUGAAGUGCAGCAUCGUACUAAAUUCAAAGAUCUAGCCCCAACUGUAUUACUUGAUUCUAUUUUACCUAUAUAAAUUUAGAACUAAUAAUUAGUACCUAUUACUGGAAUCAAAUUUUAGGAAAGCUAAAAUGCUUACCUUCACGGUUUGGGUUUUGUUAUAAGCCUUUUGGGCUAAAGCCUAUGGUAUUAUUCUUAAUUUAACCAUAUAACCCUGGUUAAACUCCCUUAUACUCUUAGUAAAUAUUUUAUUAUAACUUAUUUAUCAUUAUCCUUUAAUGUGUUCCCAUUAUUUUAUAUUUUCGAGAUAUUACAUUUGCAUCUAUUGCUAAUAUUAUCAUCCUACUUUCCUUCACCUAUUCAGUGGUUUAUUAUAAUUUUUCUUUAAUUAACAAUUAAUUUUCUAGACUAUUAGCACAAUCCUAGCCUUUGUUUCCUUAGCCCAUAAAUUUUUCCUUUCUUAGGUAAGUGGGUAUUCUAUUCCAAAUGAGUCUUGGAUCAAAGGCCUAAUAAAACAUAUUUCACUUUAGUCAUUUUUAGAGUUUUAUAUGUAUAGAUUUUAUAUAUUUUUAUGUAAACCAAUUCACUUCUUUCUCACUGCAACCUGUCCAUAGAAACUUUGGUGCUCCUUUUUUUAUUUUUGUUUCCUGGACCCAAUAAAUUUUGAACACAUAUCUAGACCAUCUCUAUUCAAGCUCGGUCUUUAACUUACCCCAGUUUCUUAAUAUUAUUAUUGCCACUAUUUUGUUUAUUUCUUUUUUUUUACUUUUUUUUUCGGUAGCAGACCCAUAAAAGGGUUUAUUGGGCUUGGGUUUGAUAUAAGACCACCAUGAAUUGGAUCUAAAACCCAAGGGGUUACACCGACCCGACCUGACCCAACCCAACAUUAAAACCCCUUCCAACAUCGUCAACCUCUCAAAACCCUACUCGUAUUUGGAUCUAGCUGCCACCCCAUCUCAAACACUCAAUCAUUAUAUAUUUUCCAAACUUUCAUCACUAAAUAAUUAAAAUAUUCUCACUAAACAAUAAUAUUUACAAUUCUAUAACAAAUAAUGAACUCAAAUCAAUAUUACUAACUUAGAUCAAAGGAUUUAAAGUGUAAAUUACUCUUCAGAAUUUCAAACAGAUAAGAAGCUCGCUCAAAUCAGAGGGUGUUAUGCCGCCCACUAGGCCACCGCGCAUUCUCCUUCUUCUUCUCCUUUUUCUUCUUUUUCUUCUUUUUAUGCCAAACGAUCUCCUUUAUUUGCGACCAACAUGCUGCGCAUGCGACCUACCUGUCUUCGGCUGUCGACUCAACGCUCCUCAGCCUCACAUGCUGCACAUACCAGGCAGCUGGAUCUCUUCCCUUUCAGCCUUCCUCCUCCCUCAGCUACUGUUACUCCCUCUCUUCCCUCUCUCUUCUCUCUCUCUAUUUUGGCUCUCCUCUUUCGAAUGAUAGGAAACUCGGUUGGGGUUUCCCUUUUUUAUAGCUUUCAUCUUCACUUUCCAAUCAUUCCAGAUCUAAUUUGGGCCGUUCAGUGGAUUUGAAUCGAUAGCUAUUGGAUCGGCUCCAAACAGUGAGAUCUUGGUCGUCCAUUUCCUAAUUUUGUUGUCCACCCCUUCUAUUCUUUAUUAAUUACAAUUCUAACUCCAUUCUCUAUGAAAGUUAUUCAUUUAGGUCCCUUAAAUUUAUAAAAGGCCUCUAAUUUAGAA
This 1692-nucleotide long non-coding RNA is filed under the name Carica papaya (papaya). RNAcentral describes it as "long non-coding RNA (CPAP_LNC002950)". Lineage: Eukaryota; Viridiplantae; Streptophyta; Magnoliopsida; Brassicales; Caricaceae. The record is from RNAcentral.